UGGGAGUUCGGAUCAAUUAAAUGCCAUAAGAUACAAGCAGUAUACAUCAGUAUGAACGCAAAAUCCAAGAAAUAAUGAGCCGUCGAUAGAUGCGUGGGACUCACAGCCAUGUCUAUGGAAGAGAUUUAUUAAUUCCAAGUUUAAAGUAUUUAAUACCAUCCGUAACUUAUACAGUAUUAAGAUGGCGCUAGUGCGUUGAAUGCGCAAGCGUUCAGCCGGAUGUGCGAAAUGGAUUGUGCGCGACCCGUUGAAGAAUUCAAUAUUAACGCCCUUGGUGUGGG
Molecule: long non-coding RNA, 281 nt
Organism: Galleria mellonella (greater wax moth)
Lineage: Eukaryota; Metazoa; Arthropoda; Insecta; Lepidoptera; Pyralidae
Exons: 3
Source: RefSeq, a predicted model, not a curated record